Molecule: microRNA precursor, 73 nt
Filed under: Struthio camelus australis
Lineage: Eukaryota; Metazoa; Chordata; Aves; Struthioniformes; Struthionidae
Description: mir-1744 microRNA precursor family
Rfam family: mir-1744 microRNA precursor family
Source: Rfam by way of RNAcentral
AGGACCCAGUGCUCCUCUGUUGAACUCAAACGCAGAACCUGUAUUGACUUCAACAGGAGCAAGCCCCAGCCCU